This 734-nucleotide ribosomal RNA is filed under the name uncultured Fusobacterium sp. Its description in RNAcentral is "bacterial SSU rRNA". It matches the Rfam family "Bacterial small subunit ribosomal RNA", at positions 28 to 776 of the family's 1533-position model. Lineage: Bacteria; Fusobacteriati; Fusobacteriota; Fusobacteriia; Fusobacteriales; Fusobacteriaceae. The record is from RNAcentral.
GAUGAACGCUGACAGAAUGCUUAACACAUGCAAGUCAACUUGAAUUUGGGUUUUUAACUUAGAUUUGGGUGGCGGACGGGCGAGUAACGCGUAAAGAACUUGCCUCACAGUUAGGGACAACAUUUAGAAAUGAAUGCUAAUACCUGAUAUUAUGAUUUUAAGGCAUCUUAGAAUUAUGAAAGCUAUAUGCACUGUGAGAGAGCUUGCGUCCCAUUAGCUAGUUGGAGAGGUAACAGCUCACCAAGGCGAUGAUGGGUAGCCGGCCUGAGAGGGUGAACGGCCACAAGGGGACUGAGACACGGCCCUUACUCCUACGGGAGGCAGCAGUGGGGAAUAUUGGACAAUGGACCGAGAGUCUGAUCCAGCAAUUCUGUGUGCACGAUGAAGUUUUUCGGAAUGUAAAGUGCUUUCAGUUGGGAAGAAAAAAAUGACGGUACCAACAGAAGAAGUGACGGCUAAAUACGUGCCAGCAGCCGCGGUAAUACGUAUGUCACGAGCGUUAUCCGGAUUUAUUGGGCGUAAAGCGCGUCUAGGUGGUUAUGUAAGUCUGAUGUGAAAAUGCAGGGCUCAACUCUGUAUUGCGUUGGAAACUGUAUAACUAGAGUACUGGAGAGGUAAGCGGAACUACAAGUGUAGAGGUGAAAUUCGUAGAUAUUUGUAGGAAUGCCGAUGGGGAAGCCAGCUUACUGGACAGAUACUGACGCUAAAGCGCGAAAGCGUGGGUAGCAAACAGG